GCUGGGCGUGGUGGUGCGCGUCUGUAAUCCCAGCUACUCAGGAGGCUGAGGCAGGAGAAUUGCUUGAACCCGGGAGGCGGAGGUUGCAGUGAGCAGAGUUCGCGCCACUGCACUCCAGCCUGGGUGACAGAGCAAGACUCCGUCUCGA
Molecule: non-coding RNA, 148 nt
Filed under: Gorilla gorilla gorilla (western lowland gorilla)
Lineage: Eukaryota; Metazoa; Chordata; Mammalia; Primates; Hominidae
Source: Rfam by way of RNAcentral